This 5235-nucleotide long non-coding RNA is filed under the name Camarhynchus parvulus. Its description in RNAcentral is "lncRNA (ENSCPVG00000017574.1)". Lineage: Eukaryota; Metazoa; Chordata; Aves; Passeriformes; Thraupidae. The record is from RNAcentral.
UCUCCAUUUAAAUAAAUAAAAAAGAUUUUAACACAUAAAUAAAUAAAUAAAUAUGCAUUUAUUAAUUCUUAUUCUUACAUGUAUUAUUUAUUACUUGUAUUUAUUAAUUAUUUAUUUCUCAUUUAUUAUUUCUAUUUCUUCCUUUUAUUCCAUUCGACGCCCAAAACCCCAACUUGGUGGCACCUGGGUCAUUGUCCUUGGUGGCACCUGGGUCACUCCCUUGGUGGCACCUGGGUCACUCCCUUGGUGGCACCUGGGUCAUUGUCCUUGGUGGCACCUGGGUCACUGCCUUGGUGGCACCUGGGUCACUGUCCUUGGUGGCACCUGGGUCAUUGUCCUUGGUGGCACCUGGGUCACACCCUUGGUGGCACCUGGGUCACUCCCUUGGUGGCACCUGGGUCAUUGUCCUUGGUGGCACCUGGGUCACUGCCUUGGUGGCACCUGGGUCACUGUCCUUGGUGGCACCUGGGUCACUGCCUUGGUGGCACCUGGGUCACUGCCUUGGUGGCACCUGGGUCACUCCCUUGGUGGCACCUGGGUCACUGCCUUGGUGGCACUUGGGUCACUCCCUUGGUGGCACCUGGGUCAUUGUCCUUGGUGGCACCUGGGUCACUGCCUUGGUGGCACCUGGGUCACUCCCUUGGUGGCACCUGGGUCAUUGUCCUUGGUGGCACCUGGGUCACCUCCCUUGGUGGCACCUGGGUCACUCCCUUGGUGGCACCUGGGUCACUGUCCUUGGUGGCACCUGGGUCAUUGUCCUUGGUGGCACCUGGGUCACCUCCUUGGUGGCACCUGGGUCAUUGUCCUUGGUGGCACCUGGGUCACUCCCUUGGUGGCACCUGGGUCAUUGUCCUUGGUGGCACCUGGGUCACUCCCUUGGUGGCACCUGGGUCACUCCCUUGGUGGCACCUGGGUCACUGUCCUUGGUGGCACCUGGGUCACUGUCCUUGGUGGCACCUGGGUCACUGCCUUGGUGGCACCUGGGUCACUCCCUUGGUGGCACCUGGGUCACUGCCUUGGUGGCACCUGGGUCACUCCCUUGGUGGCACCUGGGUCACUGCCUUGGUGGCACCUGGGUCACUCCCUUGGUGGCACCUGGGUCACUGUCCUUGGUGGCACCUGGGUCACUCCCUUGGUGGCACCUGGGUCACUCCCUUGGUGGCACCUGGGUCACUGCCUUGGUGGCACCUGGGUCACUGUCCUUGGUGGCACCUGGGUCCCCCCCUUGGUGGCACCUGGGUACACCCUUGGUGGCACCUGGGUCACUGUCCUUGGUGGCACCUGGGUCACUCCCUUGGUGGCACCUGGGUCAUUGUCCUUGGUGGCACCUGGGUCACUCCCUUGGUGGCACCUGGGUCACUCCCUUGGUGGCACCUGGGUCAUUGUCCUUGGUGGCACCUGGGUCCCCCUCCCUGGUGGCACCUGGGUCAUUGUCCUUGGUGGCACCUGGGUCACUGUCCUUGGUGGCACCUGGGUCAUUGUCCUUGGUGGCACCUGGGUCACUCCCUUGGUGGCACCUGGGUCACUGUCCUUGGUGGCACCUGGGUCACUCCCUUGGUGGCACCUGGGUCGUUUUUUUGGUGGCACCUGGGUCACUCCCUUGGUGGCACCUGGGUCACUGCCUUGGUGGCACCUGGGUCACUGUCCUUGGUGGCACCUGGGUCACUCCCUUGGUGGCACCUGGGUCACUGCCUUGGUGGCACCUGGGUCACUCCCUUGGUGGCACCUGGGUCAUUGUCCUUGGUGGCACCUGGGUCACUCCCUUGGUGGCACCUGGGUCACACCCUUGGUGGCACCUGGGUCACUCCCUUGGUGGCACCUGGGUCACUGUCCUUGGUGGCACCUGGGUCACUCCCUUGGUGGCACCUGGGACAUUGUCCUUGGUGGCACCUGGGUCACUGUCCUUGGUGGCACCUGGGUCAUUGUCCUUGGUGGCACCUGGGUCAUUGUCCUUGGUGGCACCUGGGUCACUGCCUUGGUGGCACCUGGGUCAUUGUCCUUGGUGGCACCUGGGUCACUGUCCUUGGUGGCACCUGGGUCACUCCCUUGGUGGCACCUGGGUCACUCCCUUGGUGGCACCUGGGUCACUGUCCUUGGUGGCACCUGGGUCACUCCCUUGGUGGCACCUGGGUCAUUGUCCUUGGUGGCACCUGGGUCACUGCCUUGGUGGCACCUGGGUCAUUGUCCUUGGUGGCACCUGGGUCACUGUCCUUGGUGGCACCUGGGUCAUUGUCCUUGGUGGCACCUGGGUCACUGCCUUGGUGGCACCUGGGUCACACCCUUGGUGGCACCUGGGUCAUUGUCCUUGGUGGCACCUGGGUCAUUGUCCUUGGUGGCACCUGGGUCACUGCCUUGGUGGCACCUGGGUCAUUGUCCUUGGUGGCACCUGGGUCACUCCCUUGGUGGCACCUGGGUCACUGCCUUGGUGGCACCUGGGUCACUGUCCUUGGUGGCACCUGGGUCACUGCCUUGGUGGCACCUGGGUCACUGCCUUGGUGGCACCUGGGUCAUUGUCCUUGGUGGCACCUGGGUCACUGUCCUUGGUGGCACCUGGGUCAUUGUCCUUGGUGGCACCUGGGUCAUUGUCCUUGGUGGCACCUCGGUCACUCCCUUGGUGGCACCUGGGUCACUCCCUUGGUGGCACCUGGGUCAUUGUCCUUGGUGGCACCUGGGUCACUGCCUUGGUGGCACCUGGGUCACUGUCCUUGGUGGCACCUGGGUCACACCCUUGGAGGCACCUGGGUCACUGUCCUUGGUGGCACCUGGGUCACUGCCUUGGUGGCACCUGGGUCAUUGUCCUUGGUGGCACCUGGGUCACUGCCUUGGUGGCACCUGGGUCACUGCCUUGGUGGCACCUGGGUCACUCCCUUGGUGGCACCUGGGUCACUGUCCUUGGUGGCACCUGGGUCACUGCCUUUGUGGCACCUGGGUCACUGCCUUGGUGGCACCUGGGUCAUUGUCCUUGGUGGCACCUGGGUCACUGUCCUUGGUGGCACCUGGGUCAUUGCCUUGGUGGCACCUGGGUCACUGCCUUGGUGGCACCUGGGUCACUCCCUUGGUGGCACCUGGGUCACUCCCUUGGUGGCACCUGGGUCACUGCCUUGGUGGCACCUGGGUCAUUGUCCUUGGUGGCACCUGGGUCACUCCCUUGGUGGCACCUGGGUCACUGUCCUUGGUGGCACCUGGGUCAGUGUCCUUGGUGGCACCUGGGUCACUCCCUUGGUGGCACCUGGGUCAUUGUCCUUGGUGGCACCUGGGUCACUGUCCUUGGUGGCACCUGGGUCAGUGUCCUUGGUGGCACCUGGGUCACUCCCUUGGUGGCACCUGGGUCACUGUCCUUGGUGGCACCUGGGUCACUGUCCUUGGUGGCACCUGGGUCAGUGUCCUUGGUGGCACCUGGGUCACUCCCUUGGUGGCACCUGGGUCAUUGUCCUUGGUGGCACCUGGGUCCUCCUUGGUGGCACCUGGGUCACCCCUUGGUGGCACCUGGGUCAUUGUCCUUGGUGGCACCUGGGUCACUGUCCUUGGUGGCACCUGGGUCAGUGUCCUUGGUGGCACCUGGGUCACUGCCUUGGUGGCACCUGGGUCAUUGUCCUUGGUGGCACCUGGGUCACUGUCCUUGGUGGCACCUGGGUCACUCCCUUGGUGGCACCUGGGUCAUUGUCCUUGGUGGCACCUGGGUCACUGUCCUUGGUGGCACCUGGGUCACUCCCUUGGUGGCACCUGGGUCACUGUCCUUGGUGGCACCUGGGUCACUCCCUUGGUGGCACCUGGGUCACUCCCUUGGUGGCACCUGGGUCAUUGUCCUUGGUGGCACCUGGGUCACUCCCUUGGUGGCACCUGGGUCACUGUCCUUGGUGGCACCAAAGCCACCAGAGAUGUCCCCAAGUCCCCAUUCUGGGAAUUUCUUUGGAUUUUUUGGAGUUUUUGGGUGAUUUUUGGAUUUUUGGGGGAUUUUUAAAAAAUUUUUAAUUUUUAUGGGAUUUUCUAAAUGAAUUUUUGGGGGAUUUUUGGGGAUUUUUUUGGAUUUUCUGGGGGAUUUUUUGUGAUUUUUGGGGUUUUUUUAUUUUUAUUUUUAUGGGAAUUUUAGGGUUUUUUUUUUGGGAUUUUUGGGGGGAUUUUUGGGGGGAUUUUUUGGGAUUUUUUGGGGAUUUUUGGGGGGAAUUUUGGGGGAUUUUUUAGGGAUUUUUAAGGGAAUUUUUUGGGUUUUUUGGAAUUUUUUUGGAUUUUUGGGAUUUUUUUGGAGAUUUUUUGGGAUUUUUGGGGUUUUUUUGGGAUUUUUUUGGGGAAAUUUUUAGGGAUUUUUGGGGAUUUUUUGAGAUUUUUUGGGGAUUUUUUGGGCAUUUUUGGGAUUUUGGGUGGAUUUUUGGGGAUUUUUUUUUAUUUUUGGGGAUUUUUUGGGAUUUUUUGGGGAAUUUUUUGGGGAUUUUUUUGGGAUUUUUUGGGGGGAUUUUUGGGGAUUUUUGGGGGAUUUUUUGGGGGGGAAUUUUGGGGGGAUUUUUUAGGGGAUUUUUAAGGGAUUUUUUGGGGUUUUUUGGAAUUUUUUUGGUUUUUUGGGAUUUUUUUGGAGAUUUUUUGGGAUUUUUGGGUGUUUUUGGGGAUUUUUUUGGGGAAAUUUUUAGGGAUUUUUGGGGAUUUUUUGGGAUUUUUUUGGGGGAUUUUUUGGGGAUUUUUGGGGAUUUUUUUGGGAUUUUGGGGGGGAUUUUUGGGGAUUUUUUUUUAUUUUUGGGGAUUUUUUUUUUUGGGGGAUUUUUUGGGGAUUUUUUUGGGGGGAUUUUUGUGAUUUUUUGGGGAUUUUUGGGGGUUUGGGGGAGGAUUUUUUGGAGAAUUUUUUGGGAUUUUUGGGGAAUUUUUUUGGGAUUUUUUGGGAUUUUUUGGGGGGAUUUUUUGGGAUUUUUGGAGAUUUUUUGUGAUUUUUGGGGUUUUUAAACUUUUUAUUUUUAUGGGAUUUUAAGGGAUUUUUUGGGAUUUCUUUUUGAGGGAUUUUUGGGGUUUUUUUGGAAUUUUUUGGGGGGUUGGUUGUUUGUUUGCUUCUAAUUUUUUAGGGCUUUUUGCCUCUUUUUGUUUUGUUUUGUUUUGUUUAGUUUAUUUUAUUGAAUUUUUGGAGUUUUUUUUUGGGUUUUUUUUUGCCUUUUUUGGGGGGGAUUUUUUGGGGUUUUUUUGCCUGGGGUUUUUUGGGGGAUUUUUGGGUUUUUUUAAAUUGAAUUUUUGGGGGUUUUUUUGCCUCUUUUGGGG